RNAcentral lists this ribosomal RNA (1549 nucleotides) under marine sediment metagenome. Its description in RNAcentral is "bacterial LSU rRNA". It matches the Rfam family "Bacterial large subunit ribosomal RNA", at positions 442 to 1991 of the family's 2925-position model. The record is from RNAcentral.
AACUGCCAGGACCAUCUGGUAAGGCUAAAUACUCCUGAGAGACCGAUAGUGAACUAGUACCGUGAGGGAAAGGUGAAAAGCACCUCGAAUAGAGGAGUGAAAUAGUACCUGAAACCAUGCGCUUACAAACGGUUGGAGCCACCUUGUGUGGUGACAGCGUGCCUUUUGCAUAAUGAGCCUACGAGUUACUCCUCACUAGCAAGGUUAAGUUCCUUAGGAACGGAGCCGAAGCGAAAGCAAGUCUGAAUAGGGCGAUUGAGUUAGUGGGGGUAGACGCGAAACCUGAUGAUCUAUCCAUGGCCAGGUUGAAGUAACAGUAACAUGUUAUGGAGGACCGAACCAGUUGACGUUGAAAAGUCUUUGGAUGAGCUGUGGAUAGGGGUGAAAGGCCAAUCAAAUUGGGAAAUAGCUCGUACUCUCCGAAAUGCAUUUAGGUGCAGCCUCGAGUACAAGUGUCAUAGAGGUAGAGCUACUGAUAAGGCUAGAGGGCUUCACCGCCUAUCAACCCUUGAUAAACUCCGAAUGCUAUGACAUGUUCCUCGGGAGUGAGGCCAUGGGUGCUAAGGUCCGUGGCCAAAAGGGAAAGAACCCAGACCAUCAGCUAAGGUCCCCAAGUAUAUGCUAAGUUGAACUAACGUAGUGCGAUUGCUCUGACAGCUAGGAUGUUGGCUUGGAAGCAGCCAUUCAUUUAAAGAGUGCGUAACAGCUCACUAGUCGAGCGAUUGUGCGUGGAUGAUAAUCGGGCAUAAGCAUAUCACCGAAGCUAUGGACUCAUGACUUAAGUUAUGAGUGGUAGGAGAGCAUUCCAGUUGCGCCGAAGGUGGAUCGUAAGGUCUGCUGGAGCGGCUGGAAAAGAAAAUGUAGGCAUAAGUAACGAUAAAGCAGGUGAGAAACCUGCUCGCCGAAAAACUAAGGUUUCCGGAUCAACGCUAAUCGGAUCCGGGUUAGUCGGGUCCUAAGGCGAAACCGAAAGGUGUAGUCGAUGGACAACUGGUUAAUAUUCCAGUACUACCUAAUACUGCGAUGGGAUGACGGAGUAGUGAAAGGUCCGCGUGCUGACGGAAUAGCACGUUAAAGGUUGUAGGUAUAUCUCCGGGUUAAUAGCUUGGAGAUGCUGAAACUGAUAGUACCGUGAGCCUUCGGGCAAGCGGAUAGUGACCCUAAGCAGACUUCCUAGAAAAACCCCUAAGCUUCAGGUAUUAGGUACCCGUACCGUAAACCGACACAGGUAGUUGAGGAGAGAAUCCUAAGGCGCUCGAGUGAUUCAUGGUUAAGGAACUAGGCAAAAUGACCCCGUAACUUCGGGAGAAGGGGUGCCAUCGCAAGAUGGCCGCAGAGAAAUAGCCCAGGCGACUGUUUAUCAAAAACACAAGGCUUUGCGAAAUCGAAAGAUGAUGUAUAAGGCCUGACACCUGCCCGGUGCUGGAAGGUUAAGAGGGGGGGUUAUUCCUUCGGGAAGAAGCUCUGAAUCGAAGCCCCAGUAAACGGCGGCCGUAACUAUAACGGUCCUAAGGUAGCGAAAUUCCUUGUCGGGUAAGUUCCGACCUGC